Pelobates fuscus (common spadefoot toad) is the source of this 161-nucleotide long non-coding RNA. RefSeq lists it as uncharacterized. The transcript is spliced from 3 exons. The record is from RefSeq and is a predicted model, not a curated record. NCBI's taxonomy places the organism in Eukaryota, Metazoa, Chordata, Amphibia, Anura, Pelobatidae.
GUUACUACACACACUUCCUACAGGAGGGAUUUUCAGUUUUGGCUCCAAAAUCUCACGAUCUAUGUAUAUCGCGAUGACGUAUUAUUCAUAGAUUUUCCACACGGUGGACCCUAAAGCAACAUCCUAAUAUUUUCGUAUUGACUGCUCUCCCGCCACAGACG